UACGAAGGGGGCUAGCGUUGCUCGGAAUCACUGGGCGUAAAGCGCACGUAGGCGGCUUUCUAAGUCAGGGGUGAAAUCCUGGAGCUCAACUCCAGAACUGCCUUUGAUACUGGAGAGCUUGAGUCCGGAAGAGGUGAGUGGAACUCCGAGUGUAGAGGCGAAAUUCGUAGAUAUUCGGAAGAACACCAGUGGCGAAGGCGGCUCACUGGUCCGGUACUGACGCUGAGGUGCGAAAGCGUGGGGAGCAAACAGG
This 253-nucleotide ribosomal RNA is filed under the name uncultured bacterium. Its description in RNAcentral is "partial 16S ribosomal RNA". It matches the Rfam family "Bacterial small subunit ribosomal RNA", at positions 524 to 776 of the family's 1533-position model. The record is from RNAcentral.